RNAcentral lists this ribosomal RNA (271 nucleotides) under uncultured bacterium. RNAcentral describes it as "partial 16S ribosomal RNA". It matches the Rfam family "Bacterial small subunit ribosomal RNA", at positions 88 to 354 of the family's 1533-position model. The record is from RNAcentral.
CCGGCGACCGGCGCACGGGUGAGUAACACGUAUGCGACCUGCCCCCCGCAGGGGGAUAACCGGGAGAAAUCCCGACUAAUACCGCGUAACGCCGCGGACCUGCAUGGGUCUGCGGCCAAAGGAAGCGGAUUCCGGCGGGGGAUGGGCAUGCGGCGCAUUAGCUAGUCGGCGGGGUAACGGCCCACCGAGGCGACGAUGCGUAGGGGUUCUGAGAGGAAGGUCCCCCACACUGGUACUGAGACACGGACCAGACUCCUACGGAAGGCAGCAG